RNAcentral lists this long non-coding RNA (224 nucleotides) under Elaeis guineensis (African oil palm). RNAcentral describes it as "long non-coding RNA (EGUI_LNC039316)". Lineage: Eukaryota; Viridiplantae; Streptophyta; Magnoliopsida; Arecales; Arecaceae. The record is from RNAcentral.
CUACACUAGAGAUCAUGAGAAGAAUAUUUUUUUCUUUUUUUUCCUAAAAUCCAUGCACAAGAUCUCUAUACUAGAGAUCUAAAAGAAUAUGUCCAACUCUUGAACAAAGGAGAAAGAAAAAUUUAUAUUCAAAACUUGGACAAAAAGGGAGAGAGAAGAUCCUAACAACCAACCUUUGGUUGUUGGUAAGAAAGAAAGGAUAAGGGCCAACAAACCUCACACCA